CCGUGCAGCCGGGGCAGUAGCGGAGCCUUGUACCUACAAUCCGCUCUAGUAGGGGUGAUGUUUUACGGAGGGCUUUAGCUUGUAUAGCUGCCCUUUAUAAGUGGCGUUGAAGUUUGGGUCUUACGCAAUGGGAAUCCACGAACCGUGUCAGGUUGGGAACAAAGCAGCACUAAGUGGAACCUUCCAUGUGCCGUGAGGGUGCCUGGGCGGAGCUAACUGUAAAGGUAACGUGUAUGGGCGUGGUUCGAAGUAAAAUGCACGG
This 262-nucleotide signal recognition particle RNA is filed under the name Lachnospiraceae bacterium. Its description in RNAcentral is "signal recognition particle sRNA large type". It matches the Rfam family "Bacterial large signal recognition particle RNA". Rfam says of the family: The signal recognition particle (SRP) is a universally conserved ribonucleoprotein involved in the co-translational targeting of proteins to membranes. Archaeal SRP consists of a 7S RNA and homologues of the eukaryotic SRP19 and SRP54 proteins. In most bacteria, the SRP consists of a 4.5S RNA and the Ffh protein (a homologue of the eukaryotic SRP54 protein). The record is from RNAcentral. Lineage: Bacteria; Bacillati; Bacillota; Clostridia; Lachnospirales; Lachnospiraceae.